GGAUAAAAGCUACCCCGGGGAUAACAGGCUUAUCUCCCCCAAGAGUCCACAUCGACGGGGAGGUUUGGCACCUCGAUGUCGGCUCAUCGCAUCCUGGGGCUGUAGUCGGUCCCAAGGGUUGGGCUGUUCGCCCAUUAAAGCGGUACGCGAGCUGGGUUCAGAACGUCGUGAGACAGUUCGGUCCCUAUCCGUCGCGGGCGCAGGAAAUUUGAGAGGAGCUGUCCUUAGUACGAGAGGACCGGGAUGGACGCACCGCUGGUGUACCAGUUGUUCUGCCAAGGGCAUCGCUGGGUAGCUAUGUGCGGACGGGAUAAGUGCUGAAAGCAUCUAAGCAUGAAGCCCCCCUCAAGAUGAGAUUUCCCAUUCCGCAAGGAAGUAAGAUCCCUGAAAGAUGAUCAGGUUGAUAGGUCUGAGGUGGAAGUGUGGCGACACAUGGAGCUGACAGAUACUAAUCGAUCGAGGACUUAACCUAA
Molecule: ribosomal RNA, 473 nt
Filed under: Bacillus haynesii
Lineage: Bacteria; Bacillati; Bacillota; Bacilli; Caryophanales; Bacillaceae
Description: bacterial LSU rRNA
Rfam family: Bacterial large subunit ribosomal RNA
Source: RNAcentral